AAAAAGGCAAACCCUGGGUUUCCGUGUCCAACUUUGACUGUCCGUCUUAUAUGAAAUUUUUUUAUAAUUCGUAUUUUUAUUGUUGUUAGAUGAUAAAACAUGAUUAAUAUUUUAUAUGUGACUUGUCUUUUUAAUUUUUUUUAUAUUUUUUUCAAAUAAGACGGACGGUCAAACGUUGGACACGGAAACCAGGGUUUGUCUUUUU
RNAcentral lists this microRNA precursor (205 nucleotides) under Oryza sativa Japonica Group (Japanese rice). Its description in RNAcentral is "MIR812 microRNA precursor family". It matches the Rfam family "MIR812 microRNA precursor family". Lineage: Eukaryota; Viridiplantae; Streptophyta; Magnoliopsida; Poales; Poaceae. The record is from Rfam by way of RNAcentral.